UAGGCUGAAGCCCUCUGGAUUGGGUGUUCGGUUGUUAAUCGAAGGUUUGCGGGAUCAAGGCCCGCCGGUCUAG
This 73-nucleotide transfer RNA is filed under the name Gehyra sp. MPH-2011. RNAcentral describes it as "tRNA-Asn". Lineage: Eukaryota; Metazoa; Chordata; Lepidosauria; Squamata; Gekkonidae. The record is from RNAcentral.